RNAcentral lists this long non-coding RNA (241 nucleotides) under Phaseolus vulgaris (common bean). RNAcentral describes it as "long non-coding RNA (PVUL_LNC002067)". Lineage: Eukaryota; Viridiplantae; Streptophyta; Magnoliopsida; Fabales; Fabaceae. The record is from RNAcentral.
CUCCUUAUCUUUAUCUCUGCCAUACAUAACAUAUCUAUCUUCCAGAGAUGUUGGCUGAGCUUUCCAUGACUGGUUGCUCUCCACUGGAAUCUCCUUCAAAUCAAGACACUCCUUUUGUUUUAAAAUGUCAUCUAAUCUUUCAACUAAGUCUUCCAACUUACUAAUACUAACAAUCUUCUUCCUCUUGAAAAGGCCAGAAAAGGAAUCGCUUACCUCCUUUUGAGUAGCAGCUUUAGUAGAG